RNAcentral lists this ribosomal RNA (1352 nucleotides) under uncultured bacterium. RNAcentral's name for it is "partial 16S ribosomal RNA". It matches the Rfam family "Bacterial small subunit ribosomal RNA", at positions 39 to 1379 of the family's 1533-position model. The record is from RNAcentral.
GCGGCAGGCUUAACACAUGCAAGUCGAGGGGCAUCGGGGAGGAAGCUUGCUUUCUCCGCCGGCGACCGGCGCACGGGUGAGUAACACGUAUGCAACCUGCCCCUGUCAGGGGGACAACCCGCCGAAAGGCGGGCUAAACCCGCGUACAUGCCACCGGGGCAUCCCGGAGGCAGGAAAGGCUUCGGCCGGACAGGGAUGGGCAUGCGGCGCAUUAGGCAGUAGGCGGGGUAACGGCCCACCUAACCGACGAUGCGUAGGGGUUCUGAGAGGAAGGUCCCCCACACUGGUACUGAGACACGGACCAGACUCCUACGGGAGGCAGCAGUGAGGAAUAUUGGUCAAUGGUCGGGAGACUGAACCAGCCAAGCCGCGUGAGGGAGGAAGGUACAGAGUAUCGUAAACCUCUUUUGUCAGGGAACAAAGGCGGGGACGUGUCCCCGGAUGAGUGUACCUGAAGAAAAAGCAUCGGCUAACUCCGUGCCAGCAGCCGCGGUAAUACGGAGGAUGCGAGCGUUAUCCGGAUUUAUUGGGUUUAAAGGGUGCGCAGGCGGUCUGUUAAGUCAGCGGUCAAAGCCCGGGGCUCAACCCCCGGCCCGCCGUUGAAACUGGCAGUCUCGAGUUGGAGAGAAGUAUGCGGAAUGCGCGGUGUAGCGGUGAAAUGCAUAGAUAUCGCGCAGAACUCCGAUUGCGAAGGCAGCAUGCCGGCUCCACACUGACGCUGAGGCACGAAAGCGUGGGUAUCGAACAGGAUUAGAUACCCUGGUAGUCCACGCAGUAAACGAUGAAUGCUGGCUGUCCGGGGGGAUUGACCCCUGGGUGGCGAAGCGAAAGCGAUAAGCAUUCCACCUGGGGAGUACGCCGGCAACGGUGAAACUCAAAGGAAUUGACGGGGGCCCGCACAAGCGGAGGAACAUGUGGUUUAAUUCGAUGAUACGCGAGGAACCUUACCCGGGCUCAAACGGGGAGUGACUCAGGCAGAGACGCCUGUUUCCCACGGGACACUCCCCGAGGUGCUGCAUGGUUGUCGUCAGCUCGUGCCGUGAGGUGUCGGCUUAAGUGCCAUAACGAGCGCAACCCCCGCGUGCAGUUGCUAACAGAUAACGCUGAGGACUCUGCACGGACUGCCGGCGCAAGCCGCGAGGAAGGCGGGGAUGACGUCAAAUCAGCACGGCCCUUACGUCCGGGGCGACACACGUGUUACAAUGGGUGGUACAGCGGGAAGCCAGGCGGCGACGCCGAGCGGAACCCGAAAUCCACUCUCAGUUCGGAUCGGAGUCUGCAACCCGACUCCGUGAAGCUGGAUUCGCUAGUAAUCGCGAAUCAGCCAUGGCGCGGUGAAUACGUUCCCGGGC